RNAcentral lists this small RNA (1002 nucleotides) under uncultured bacterium. Its description in RNAcentral is "bacterial SSU rRNA". The stretch from base 1 to 477 matches the Rfam family "Bacterial small subunit ribosomal RNA", at positions 1045 to 1533 of the family's 1533-position model. The record is from RNAcentral.
AUGGCUGUCGUCAGCUCGUGUCGUGAGAUGUUGGGUUAAGUCCCGCAACGAGCGCAACCCUUGCCAUUAAUUGCCAUCAUUUAGUUGGGCACUUUAAUGGGACUGCCGGUGACAAACCGGAGGAAGGUGGGGAUGACGUCAAGUCCUCAUGGCCCUUAUGGCCAGGGCUUCACACGUAAUACAAUGGUCGGUACAGAGGGAAGCCAACCCGCGAGGGGGAGCCAAUCUCAGAAAGCCGGUCGUAGUCCGGAUUGUUGUCUGCAACUCGACAGCAUGAAGUCGGAAUCGCUAGUAAUCGUAGAUCAGCGUGCUACGGUGAAUGCGUUCCCGGGUCUUGUACACACCGCCCGUCACACCAUGGGAGUUGGUUCUACCUUAAGGCAAGGUUUUAAACCCUUGACCACGGUAUAGUCAGCGACUGGGGUGAAGUCGUAACAAGGUAGCCGUAGGGGAACCUGCGGCUGGAUUACCUCCUUUCUAAGGAUGAAUGAAAGUAAAAUUUCAUUCUAAAUAAUAUACAUCGGUAAUGUUGACCGUCCUCAUUUCUCUUCUUAAAAUAAUGUUUCCUUCUUGUAGGGCCGGUAGCUCAGUUGGUUAGAGCACACCCUUGAUAAGGGUGGGGUCGAAAGUUCGAGUCUUUCUCGGCCCACCAUACUUAACUGGGGGAUUAGCUCAGCUGGGAGAGCGCCUGAUUUGCAUUCAGGAGGUCAGCGGUUCGAUCCCGCUAUCCUCCACCAGGAAACAUUUAGUUAUAAAAAUUGUGAAUAAAAAUAAUAAUUAAUAUCAAUAUCUAUAUCCGAACAUUAGCAAUGUUAUUAGCUAAUGUUCAAAAUAAAAAUUUGAUUCAACACAGAAUUUUUUUCUGUGCAUAAAUCAAGCGUUUAAGGGCGUGUGGCGGAUGCCUUGGCACUGAAAGCCGAUGAAGGACGUGAUAUACUGCGAUAAGUUUCGGGGAGCUGUAUGUAAGUUUUGAUCCGAAAAUUUCCGAAUGGGGAAACCCGG